GACGAACGCUGGCGGCGUGCUUAACACAUGCAAGUCGAACGGAAGGGCCCUGCUCUUGUGGGGUUCUCGAUUGGCGAACGGGGGAGUGUCACGUGAGUAACCUGCCCUUGACUUUGGGAUAACUUCAGGAGACUCGGGCGAAUACCGGAUAUGAUCUCCUGCUGCGUGGUGGGGGUUGGAAAGAGUCGGCGGUGGUGGAUGGACUCGAGGCUUAUCCGCUGGAUGGUGAGGUAGUGGCUGACAAAGGCUAUGACGGGUAGCCGGCCUGAGCGGGUGACCGGCCACCUUGGGCCUGAGGUACGGAGCAGACUCCUACGGGAGGCAGCAGUCGAGAACAUUGCGGAAUGGGGGCACGCCUGAUGCAGCAACGCUGCGUGCGGGAUGACGUCCUUCGGGUUGUAAACCGAUUUCGACGGUGACGAAGCGUGAGUGACGGUAAUGGGUAAAGAAGCACCGGCUAACUACGUG
Molecule: ribosomal RNA, 468 nt
Filed under: uncultured bacterium
Lineage: Bacteria
Description: partial 16S ribosomal RNA
Rfam family: Bacterial small subunit ribosomal RNA
Source: RNAcentral